CCUACGGGUGACAGCAGUGAGGAAUAUUGGUCAAUGGACGCGAGCCUGAACCAGCCAAGUAGCGUGAGGGAUGACUGUCCUAUGGAUUGUAAACCUCUUUUGUAAGGGAGUAAACCGCGCCACGUGUGCCUUUCCGCAUGUACCUUAUGAAAAAGCAUCGGCUAACUCCGUGCCAGCAGCCGCGGUAAUACGGAGGAUCCGAGCGUUAUCCGGAUUUAUUGGGUUUAAAGGGUGCGUAGACGGGAUGUUAAGUCAGCUGUGAAAUUUGGCGGCUCAAACGUUACUAACCAAUUGAGAUUGGCAGUCUUGAGUAAAGUAGAGGGAGGCGGAAUGCGUGGUGUAGCGGUGAAAUGCUUAGAUAGCACGAAGAACCCCGAUUGCGAAGGCAGCUUACUAAACUGUGACUGACAUUGAGGCUCGAAAGUGUGGGUAUCAAACAGGAUUAGAUACCCCAGUAGUC
This 460-nucleotide ribosomal RNA is filed under the name uncultured bacterium. Its description in RNAcentral is "partial 16S ribosomal RNA". It matches the Rfam family "Bacterial small subunit ribosomal RNA", at positions 338 to 795 of the family's 1533-position model. The record is from RNAcentral.